UACAGAGGGUGCAAGCGUUGUUCGGAAUUACUGGGCGUAAAGCGCGUGUAGGCUGCAAUGUAAGUCGGAUGUGAAAGCCCUUGGCUCAACCAAGGAAGUGCAUCCGAUACUGCGUCGCUUGAGUGUCGGAGGGGUCGGCGGAAUUCCCGGUGUAGAGGUGAAAUUCGUAGAUAUCGGGAGGAACACCUGUGGCGAAGGCGGCCGACUGGACGAUAACUGACGCUGAGACGCGAAAGCGUGGGUAGCAAACAGG
RNAcentral lists this ribosomal RNA (253 nucleotides) under uncultured bacterium. Its description in RNAcentral is "partial 16S ribosomal RNA". It matches the Rfam family "Bacterial small subunit ribosomal RNA", at positions 524 to 776 of the family's 1533-position model. The record is from RNAcentral. RNAcentral also lists the same sequence under 1 other name.